Thunnus maccoyii (southern bluefin tuna) is the source of this 239-nucleotide long non-coding RNA. RefSeq lists it as uncharacterized. Lineage: Eukaryota; Metazoa; Chordata; Actinopteri; Scombriformes; Scombridae. The record is from RefSeq and is a predicted model, not a curated record. The transcript has 3 exons.
GCCGAGGUCCACGCCCCACUGAACAGACCCCACCUUCACUUAUCGAUUGAUGAGAGAACAACAGAGGCGAUGGAGGCUCUGCCGCCUCCAGUGACUGAAAGCCAAGCUGACGGAGUCACCCGUAGAGGAAAAUGAUCUCCUCGCUUGUUGCUGUCUGUGACGAACUUCUUCUGGAGGGAACUCUGUGUGACGUUGUGAUCGAACGCCCACAAGAUGAUCCUCUGUGGCUGCAGCUCAUA